This 253-nucleotide ribosomal RNA is filed under the name uncultured bacterium. RNAcentral's name for it is "partial 16S ribosomal RNA". It matches the Rfam family "Bacterial small subunit ribosomal RNA", at positions 524 to 776 of the family's 1533-position model. The record is from RNAcentral.
UACAGGGGGGGCAAGCGUUGUUCGGAAUUACUGGGCGUAAAGGGCGCGUAGGCGGCCUUCUAAGUCAGACGUGAAAUCCCCGGGCUCAACCCGGGAACUGCGUCUGAUACUGGAGGGCUUGAAUCCGGGAGAGGGAUGUGGAAUUCCAGGUGUAGCGGUGAAAUGCGUAGAUAUCUGGAGGAACACCGGUGGCGAAGGCGGCAUCCUGGACCGGUAUUGACGCUGAGGCGCGAAAGCCAGGGGAGCAAACGGG